Leptopilina boulardi is the source of this 638-nucleotide long non-coding RNA. RefSeq lists it as uncharacterized. Lineage: Eukaryota; Metazoa; Arthropoda; Insecta; Hymenoptera; Figitidae. The transcript is spliced from 3 exons. The record is from RefSeq and is a predicted model, not a curated record.
CUAAUUUCGCGCUCUGGUAAGCGAGUAAAAUUUGUCCACCAAUAAGGAAUAUGCUUUCUCACACCGGAAAUUGUGAAUAGCCAAUCACAGCCAAGAAGGACUGCUAUUGCAAUACACGUUCAUUCCUGUCGACACAAGGCCAUGGCGUCCAUUGCUCUCAACAUGUCUCCGCUGCAUUUUUUCUUCAAAAAUGAUUCCUUUGUGGUGGCAAGUCAAAAUUUUGAGCUCGAGUCAAUUUGGAGACCCACAAUGCAUUGUGGGAACCAGCGGACUUGGUGGAGUUCAAAAGAUUGACGAGAAGAUGAUCCUGAGCAUAUAUAUUGGGGAGUUGCCCGAUGAUGCAAAGAAUCCGGUCUUCUUGUAAAGUUACAAUUCAAAUUUUCACAAAUUUGGAUUGUAAUCUAGAGAAGGGAUCUCCGGUGACUUUGCGGAAUCGGAAGGAUCGCGAGCUAUGAGAAAAUCUCCUACUUCGUACCACCUGAGGAAAAGAAUAAUGGAAGCCACCUUUGAUAAAGUGUAGAGUCAGUGUUGCUUUUAAAAUAUAUUUUUCUAAAUUUUGCUAUAAAGUUUUUAUAUAUUAAUAAAUGUAGUAAUUCUUAAAAAAAAUUAAAAUCAGUGCGAUAGUGUAAAAUAUUUUA